GGCCCUCCCGGCNCUCCCCCUCAGUCUCUGACAGAGAACAGGGAAAAGCCGCCAAGGACGGAUGGGGCGUACCCCCGGGGGCCUGACUCAGUCCUGCUGCAUCCUGAGGGCCAAGUCUGGAUCUAAGAUGAAUUUGCUACCCUUUGAAGGAAGACUAACUCAGUGUUGGUGAGAUAUCAGGAUUCACAUUUAAGAGACCCAGUGGAUUUCCUGACAACUUCUUCCACAAUUUUCUCAUCUCAGGCCCAUGGUUCCAUUUUGGUCACCAUGGCCACAGUGACUGAGACGGCCCACUACAUCCUUUGCAAAGGACAGCCUUCAGCUUCAGACUCCAAGCUAACUGCUUGUAGAAAACACUUCUUCCGUGGCACCUGAGUGGCUCAGUCGGUUAAGCAUCUGCCUUCAGCUCAGGUCAUGAUCCCAGGGUCCUGGGAUCAGGCCCCGCAUUGGGCUCCCUGCUUGGCGGGAGCCUGCUUCUCCAUCUCUGCCUGCCGCUCCCCCUGCUUGCGUUCUCUGUCUGUCGGGUAAAUAAAAUAUUAAAAAAAAAAAAAAGAAAACA
This 559-nucleotide long non-coding RNA is filed under the name Ursus americanus (American black bear). RNAcentral's name for it is "lncRNA (ENSUAMG00000015500.1)". Lineage: Eukaryota; Metazoa; Chordata; Mammalia; Carnivora; Ursidae. The record is from RNAcentral.